Molecule: transfer RNA, 68 nt
Filed under: Marmota monax (woodchuck)
Lineage: Eukaryota; Metazoa; Chordata; Mammalia; Rodentia; Sciuridae
Rfam family: tRNA
About the family: Transfer RNA (tRNA) molecules are approximately 80 nucleotides in length. Their secondary structure includes four short double-helical elements and three loops (D, anti-codon, and T loops). Further hydrogen bonds mediate the characteristic L-shaped molecular structure. tRNAs have two regions of fundamental functional importance: the anti-codon, which is responsible for specific mRNA codon recognition, and the 3' end, to which the tRNAs corresponding amino acid is attached (by aminoacyl-tRNA synthetases). tRNAs cope with the degeneracy of the genetic code in two manners: having more than one tRNA (with a specific anti-codon) for a particular amino acid; and 'wobble' base-pairing, i.e. permitting non-standard base-pairing at the 3rd anti-codon position.
Source: Rfam by way of RNAcentral
GUUGUGGCUCAGUGGCAGAGCACUUGCCUCACACACUUGAGGAACUGGGUUCGAUCCUCAGCACAACA